UCUUCCUAUGGGUCCUGUUCCAAACCCCUCCGCAUUUUCGUCGCCCUUCUCUGAACCUUUUCUAAGGCCGGUGUAUCUUUCGGGCGCCUCCGUCCCCCGACUAUUAGCGCACGGUAGGAACGUGUCGUCGCGUGGAUCUUCUCUUUGCACCGGCUUCGCCGGGGCGUUUUACGCCACCAGCUGUGAAACUGGGCAAAUCGCCGGCUGGGUCGCAGGUGUCUGUGGACCCUGGUGGAGCGCGGAGACGCGGUCGCCGGGCGGAACUUGGCUUGUCCAAAGUCUUUCCGCCCACGCUCCGUUGGCGUUCUGUUCUCGCCUGGGAAUCGGUCUCGAAACUCCUGCGAGGGGUUAACGAUUAACGACGGCAGAGGGGCGGAGCAACCUCCGGGUCAACAAAGGAGCCGCGAUGGGCGGGGGAGGGGGUAAAGCGGCGGAUUCACCCCGGCGGGAGGAAAACGAACGCAGUAGAGGACCUAGAAAGCGUGGCCGAGAGAGGAUCGCUCUGUGUGCAGCGGCCGUCAAAACAGCCAACCGAGCGUGAGGAAUCCUUAAAAAAGGGAUCGAGAAUAAGACCGAGACGCGCUUAUCACCCCUGUGUAAAUCCAAGAGACGCCCACAGCUUGAAUUCUGCGCGUAGCUGUGGGCGCCUCCCCUCCGAAAAGAUCUCUUGGCCUUGGAAAAAGUUCAGAGAAGGGCCACACAACUGUGGAGGGGUUUGGAAGGGGGAAGAGAGAUGAAAAAGACGGGGACUUUUCAGCUUAGAAGCCAUAGGAGAGAGAUCCCGCCCCUCACCAUGGAGCAGUACGUGCUGCUGGACCCGCGCCAGAGGGCCCUGUACCGGGAUGUCAUGCAGGAGAGCUACGAGACCCUGAUGGCCCUUGAAUUCCCCAUUUCCAAGCCUGACCUGCUCUCCCAGCUGGACAGCGG
Molecule: non-coding RNA, 927 nt
Organism: Pelodiscus sinensis (Chinese soft-shelled turtle)
Lineage: Eukaryota; Metazoa; Chordata; Testudines; Trionychidae
Source: RefSeq, a predicted model, not a curated record